UGGCUUUUCAGAGCCUCCAAACCGGAGACAUUUGGAAACACUUUUGACCCGGUUUUGGUUUGGAAUCUGCGGGGUUGUGUUGCAGUCUCACACGAAGACCUUUGGCAACACCGACACUGACGCCAAUGUUUUGCUGCCUGAUUGGGUCAUGACGUCUGGUUCUCUGAGACUUAGCUACUAACGUUACCAUGGCAACUACCAGCAACGCGC
Molecule: long non-coding RNA, 210 nt
Organism: Sander lucioperca (pikeperch)
Lineage: Eukaryota; Metazoa; Chordata; Actinopteri; Perciformes; Percidae
Exons: 3
Source: RefSeq, a predicted model, not a curated record